This 444-nucleotide ribosomal RNA is filed under the name uncultured bacterium. RNAcentral's name for it is "SSU rRNA". It matches the Rfam family "Bacterial small subunit ribosomal RNA", at positions 26 to 518 of the family's 1533-position model. The record is from RNAcentral.
AGAGCGAACGCUGGCGGCAGGCCUAAUACAUGCAAGUCGAACGAGCCCUUCGGGGUUAGUGGCGGACGGGUGAGUAACACGUGGGAACGUGCCUUUUGGUUCGGAACAACUCAGGGAAACUUGAGCUAAUACCGAAUGUGCCCUUCGGGGGAAAGAUUUAUCGCCAUUAGAGCGGCCCGCGUCUGAUUAGCUAGUUGGUGAGGUAAAGGCCCACCAAGGCUACGAUCAGUAGCUGGUCUGAGAGGAUGAUCAGCCACACUGGGACUGAGACACGGCCCAGACUCCUACGGGAGGCAGCAGUAGGGAAUCUUGCGCAAUGGGCGAAAGCCUGACGCAGCCAUGCCGCGUGAAUGAUGAAGGUCUUAGGAUUGUAAAAUUCUUUCAGCGGGACGAUAAUGACGGUACCGCAGAAGAAGCCCCGGCUAACUUCGUGCCAGCAGCCGC